Molecule: long non-coding RNA, 351 nt
Filed under: Felis catus (domestic cat)
Lineage: Eukaryota; Metazoa; Chordata; Mammalia; Carnivora; Felidae
Description: lncRNA (ENSFCAG00000044936.2)
Source: RNAcentral
AGGUAAUGUAAGUAAAAUCAUAAAAUGAAUUUUAUGUAUCAUUAAUUCUGAUAACUGAUUUUAUUGCUUUAGAAAAUUAUUAUGGCAGUCUGCUACAAAAUACUUAACCUAAUUUAAAUUUCAGAACACAGUUUUUGGCAAAUCACUAGAAGCAAUAUUUUUAAUCAAUGAAGUGGAUCUAAUUUGGAUUUCAGAUGCACAGAGAAAGAGAGACAGGGGAGUGGGAAGGAAGAAGUUUCCUAAUUGAUUCAACCACCCAAAACGAAAUUGGACUGAAAUACAUUCAAGGUUAUGAGAUAAUCUCUAAAGUGUUAUAAUUUAUGGCAUCAUGGCAGAGCAGCUAAAAUGGUA